UUGGGGGAAAGGGGAGAGGAGAUCUCAAACCCUCACAACCUUUAAUCCACCAUAACUCCUCCGUCCAGGCUCCGAUCGCCGCACCGUUCGCGGCCACGCACUCAACGCGUUGAGCUCUACCUUUCUAUCUGAUCAAUUUCACUGGUGUAGAUUAAGUGGGUAUAUAUGCUUUGGAAUUGAAUUGGGAGUAUUUGGAGGCUUGUUGGGGAUCAAAGCUUGGUUUGUGGCUGUUUUAAUUGAGCUUGGAGGGGCUGUGUUUUGUGUUGUGAGGCUGCCUUGGAUGAAGCUAAGUGAUCGGUCAAGAUGCAAGUCAAGAGGCUCCUCGCUAGGCGUCUGGAUCCCCGAAGCGAAAUAGUUCUUGGGUGUAUUUUGGUUUCUGUUUGUAUAUAUGUACAAAUGUAACUAGCUUACUCUCCAAGUAACUUGUGUAUGUUACUCCUCUUAGAGGUUGAAGGAGAGAUAGGAUUUA
Molecule: long non-coding RNA, 469 nt
Organism: Arachis duranensis
Lineage: Eukaryota; Viridiplantae; Streptophyta; Magnoliopsida; Fabales; Fabaceae
Exons: 3
Source: RefSeq, a predicted model, not a curated record